AAACGCUUGAAGUCAGUCGCGUUGUUCAGGAUUCAGCCUUGCUUUUGCUUGGUGUACUUCCUGUUCGACGGGUCAGCAUCAGUUUUGGCCGGUGGAUAAAGGUUCAGGGAAUGUGGCAUCUUCGGAUGUGUUAUAGCCUUUGGUUUAUAUACAAUGAUUGGGAUUGAGGAACUCAGUGCUUGCACUCAGGAUGUUGGCAUAAUGGCUUUAAUCGA
RNAcentral lists this ribosomal RNA (215 nucleotides) under Agaricales sp. RNAcentral's name for it is "partial large subunit ribosomal RNA". The record is from RNAcentral. Lineage: Eukaryota; Fungi; Basidiomycota; Agaricomycetes; Agaricales.